Molecule: non-coding RNA, 115 nt
Organism: Triticum aestivum (bread wheat)
Lineage: Eukaryota; Viridiplantae; Streptophyta; Magnoliopsida; Poales; Poaceae
Source: Rfam
AUAGUACUCCCUUCGUCCAGAAAUACUUGUCCAAGAAAUGGAUGUAUUUUACUUCUAGAUACAUCCAUUUUUAUCCAUUUCUAUGACAAGUAUUUCUGAACGGAGAGAGUACUUG